RNAcentral lists this ribosomal RNA (847 nucleotides) under Lactiplantibacillus plantarum. RNAcentral's name for it is "bacterial SSU rRNA". It matches the Rfam family "Bacterial small subunit ribosomal RNA", at positions 49 to 860 of the family's 1533-position model. Lineage: Bacteria; Bacillati; Bacillota; Bacilli; Lactobacillales; Lactobacillaceae. The record is from RNAcentral.
CUAUACCUGCAAGUCGAACGAACUCUGGUAUUGAUUGGUGCUUGCAUCAUGAUUUACAUUUGAGUGAGUGGCGAACUGGUGAGUAACACGUGGGAAACCUGCCCAGAAGCGGGGGAUAACACCUGGAAACAGAUGCUAAUACCGCAUAACAACUUGGACCGCAUGGUCCGAGUUUGAAAGAUGGCUUCGGCUAUCACUUUUGGAUGGUCCCGCGGCGUAUUAGCUAGAUGGUGAGGUAACGGCUCACCAUGGCAAUGAUACGUAGCCGACCUGAGAGGGUAAUCGGCCACAUUGGGACUGAGACACGGCCCAAACUCCUACGGGAGGCAGCAGUAGGGAAUCUUCCACAAUGGACGAAAGUCUGAUGGAGCAACGCCGCGUGAGUGAAGAAGGGUUUCGGCUCGUAAAACUCUGUUGUUAAAGAAGAACAUAUCUGAGAGUAACUGUUCAGGUAUUGACGGUAUUUAACCAGAAAGCCACGGCUAACUACGUGCCAGCAGCCGCGGUAAUACGUAGGUGGCAAGCGUUGUCCGGAUUUAUUGGGCGUAAAGCGAGCGCAGGCGGUUUUUUAAGUCUGAUGUGAAAGCCUUCGGCUCAACCGAAGAAGUGCAUCGGAAACUGGGAAACUUGAGUGCAGAAGAGGACAGUGGAACUCCAUGUGUAGCGGUGAAAUGCGUAGAUAUAUGGAAGAACACCAGUGGCGAAGGCGGCUGUCUGGUCUGUAACUGACGCUGAGGCUCGAAAGUAUGGGUAGCAAACAGGAUUAGAUACCCUGGUAGUCCAUACCGUAAACGAUGAAUGCUAAGUGUUGGAGGGUUUCCGCCCUUCAGUGCUGCAGCUAACGCAU